UACAGAGGUCUCAAGCGUUGUUCGGAUUCAUUGGGCGUAAAGGGUGCGUAGGUGGCGCCGUAAGUCAGGUGUGAAAUCUCGGGGCUCAACCCCGAAACUGCACUUGAUACUGUGGUGCUCGAGUACUGGAGAGGAGAUUGGAAUUUACGGUGUAGCAGUGAAAUGCGUAGAUAUCGUAAGGAAGACCAGUGGCGAAGGCGAAUCUCUGGACAGUUACUGACACUGAGGCACGAAGGCCAGGGGAGCAAACGGG
This 253-nucleotide ribosomal RNA is filed under the name uncultured bacterium. Its description in RNAcentral is "partial 16S ribosomal RNA". It matches the Rfam family "Bacterial small subunit ribosomal RNA", at positions 524 to 776 of the family's 1533-position model. The record is from RNAcentral.